ACGGAGGAUGCGAGAGUUAUCCGGAUUUAUUGGGUUUAAAGGGUGCGUAGGCGGAUAGAUAAGUCAGUGGUGAAAACCUGCAGCUUAACUGUAGACUUGCCGUUGAUACUGUCAGUCUUGAGUAUGGUCAAGGUAGGCGGAAUGUGUAAUGUAGCGGUGAAAUGCUUAGAUAUUACUCAGAACACCGAUUGCGAAGGCACCUUGCUGGUCCAUUCCUGACUCUGAUUCACGAAAGCUUGGGGAUCGAACAG
This 251-nucleotide ribosomal RNA is filed under the name uncultured prokaryote. RNAcentral describes it as "partial 16S rRNA". It matches the Rfam family "Bacterial small subunit ribosomal RNA", at positions 525 to 775 of the family's 1533-position model. The record is from RNAcentral.